CGUAGUUGAAUUUCUGGUCGUGGCAAUCGGUCAGCCCCUCACGGGGUUCGUACCAGGUUGCUGCGUCCAUCCUCGGGGAGAGCACAUCGGGCAUUCAGUUGUCUGGUGUGGGAUCCUCGUCAUUUACUGUGAGCAAAAUAGAGUGUUCAAAGCAGGCUUAGGCCGUUGAAUACAUUAGCAUGGAAUAAUAAGAUAGGACCUUGGUCUAUUUUGUUGGUUUGCGUUCCAAGGUAAUGA
Molecule: ribosomal RNA, 237 nt
Filed under: uncultured eukaryote
Lineage: Eukaryota
Description: partial 18S ribosomal RNA
Rfam family: Eukaryotic small subunit ribosomal RNA
Source: RNAcentral